RNAcentral lists this ribosomal RNA (447 nucleotides) under uncultured bacterium. RNAcentral describes it as "partial 16S ribosomal RNA". It matches the Rfam family "Bacterial small subunit ribosomal RNA", at positions 29 to 523 of the family's 1533-position model. The record is from RNAcentral.
AACGAACGCUGGCGGCAGGCUUAACACAUGCAAGUCGAACGCCCCGCAAGGGGAGUGGCAGACGGGUGAGUAACGCGUGGGAAUCUACCCAACUCUACGGAAUAACUCAGGGAAACUUGUGCUAAUACCGUAUACGCCCUUCGGGGGAAAGAUUUAUCGGAGUUGGAUGAGCCCGCGUUGGAUUAGCUAGUUGGUGGGGUAAAGGCCUACCAAGGCGACGAUCCAUAGCUGGUCUGAGAGGAUGAUCAGCCACAUUGGGACUGAGACACGGCCCAAACUCCUACGGGAGGCAGCAGUGGGGAAUAUUGGACAAUGGGCGCAAGCCUGAUCCAGCCAUGCCGCGUAAGUGAUGAAGGCCCUAGGGUUGUAAAGCUCUUUCACCGGUGAAGAUAAUGACGGUAACCGGAGAAGAAGCCCCGGCUAACUUCGUGCCAGCCGCCGCCGUAA